RNAcentral lists this ribosomal RNA (542 nucleotides) under Melanoleuca brevipes. RNAcentral describes it as "eukaryotic LSU rRNA". The stretch from base 144 to 297 matches the Rfam family "5.8S ribosomal RNA". Lineage: Eukaryota; Fungi; Basidiomycota; Agaricomycetes; Agaricales; Pluteaceae. The record is from RNAcentral.
CUUUUCUUGGAUUUGGGGUUUGGUUUCCAAAGAAACCUCUCCUUUGCAUUUCCAGUCUAUGUUUUAUAUAUCUACACCCCAUUAGUAUGUGUUAGAAUGUUUAUUAUUUGGCCUUUCGUUUUGAUAGGCUUUAAAACUUAUACAACUUUCAACAACGGAUCUCUUGGCUCUCGCAUCGAUGAAGAACGCAGCGAAAUGCGAUAAGUAAUGUGAAUUGCAGAAUUCAGUGAAUCAUCGAAUCUUUGAACGCACCUUGCGCUCCUUGGUAUUCCGAGGAGCAUGCCUGUUUGAGUGUCAUUAAAUUCUCAAUCCCAGAAAGGGUUUAUUCUCAGCUGGGGUUGGAUAUGGGGGUUUUGCCGGCUUUGUAAAGAGUCAGCUCUCCUGAAAAACAUUAGCAAGACUGUUAUUGCAACCUUGUUAUUGGUGUGAUAAUUAUCUACAUCAUAGAUUGUGUGCAUGUCUGGCUUCUAACAGUCCAUUGAAUUGGACAAAACUCUGACAAUUUGACCUCAAAUCAGGUAGGACUACCCCGCUGAACUUAA